CGUCAGGAUAGAUUAAAGGCCCAUUUUAAUGAACUAACAUCCACAGGCGGUCUAAAUUAAUCGGUAUAUCUUUCGAAAGCGUCGGCCAUUCUUUCCCGCCACACGGCGGACCGGGGGAAGAGUUUUUCCUCAUGCGACUAUAUUGGCCCAACGCGGAAGUGCUUUUCAACGGAGCCUACCGCUGUGUCUCUGAUAAUCUCCCUCUCCAUGGAUCUUUUGUAAAGCCUAAUCAGGAAGUAGGAGGAACCGAAGAAAUUGAUGAGCUUAUCGAUGGUAUCUCGAGCAGUGAACCAGAGCCUAAAUCGUAGUUAUGGUGUAGGGUUAAUAAGAAAGAAGGUACAAGAAGAUGGGGACAGCCUUGAGAGCGUGUUUAAGCUGCGAAAUGGAAGGGAGGAAUUAGAGUCCGUCUGGAUGCAUCGAAAACAGUACAGAAGCUGACGCUUGCUGUUCCUAUACCAGUAGUUUCUUUGGAUGGGUACACAAAUGCUGGGAAGAGUACGCUCUUGAAUCAGUUGGCUGGAGUGGAAGUCCUUGCAGAGGAUUGAUUGUUUGCAACCACCUUUAAUCCAGCUGCAAGAAGGGUUCAGGUUGACAAGGUUAGUGAUCCUCAAAAUAUUAGAGGGGAUGUUAUUUGUGUACAAGUGAGAUCCCACGUAGCAUCCUGUAUAGAGGUGUGAAAACCUCCCUUUAGCAGACGCGUUUCAAAACUAUGAGGCUGACAGCGAUACGUGAUAGGCCAAAGUGGAUAAUAUCUGCACCAAGUGAUGAUGGUUUGGACGAAUUCUGCAAUGGAGUUCGGGGAAAAUUGAAGGACUCAAUGGUUUGGGUAGAAGCCUUGAUCCAGUUUGACGGAGGCGAGUUCUUGAGCACUGUGUAUCAGGUUGAAGUGGUAGAGAAAACUGUAAGUAAAUCCUCCAUCCUUUCUGAUUUCCAUUUAGUUUUCUUGUUUUGGAAGAUUUUUAAAUAUCUUGAGAGUGCAUUUGGUUGAAGCAAUUUGUUGGUGUAUUUAAAAAAAUGGUGGUAGGAAGAGAAGCUAUUUAAAAAAUGUGUCAACAAAUUGACAUCUACUCUUUUUCUUGAGGUCGGUGGUAGGAAGAGCAGCUCAAAGUUUGACAAUGUCCUAGAUGGUAAGAAAUGAAAAAUAAUGAUGUUGGAUGACCCAUCCGGUAACAGUUCAAGCCCACUGCUAGCAGCUAUUAUUCGUUUUGGCCCGUUACAUAUCGUCAUUAGCUUCAUAGUUUUAAAACGCGUCUGCUAGGGAGAAGUUUUCGUAUCCUUAUAAAAAAUGUUUCGUUUCACUCUCCAACUAAUGCAGCUAUUUUGUAAGUAUAACAGAUUGUAAACAGAGAAGCCAAGCAAAUAGUGCCAUGGCUCCAUUCAGAGGCCCAGCCUAAUGGGAUUACGGGGAAAAAAAAAUUACACUACAAAUUAUUUGGUACUUGGUCAGAUUUUUCUGGUAGGUACAUAUCUUUGGGUCACGCAUCAUUAUCAGGCAUCGUUGUCCUGAAGUCACCAGUAAAAAAAUGGAUUGAGUCGGCGAUCUACCCUAUGCAGGACCAGAAUCUGAGCCAUAAUUAGAACAUUUAUAUAUAGAAACCAUUGGGGGGUUGAGUAAAUUUUUGGUUCAACCAAUAUUUGAAGUCAUUGUAUGGCUCACCAUCUCUUUCUCUCUCUCUCAUGGCCUAAUGAGCCCUCUUUUUGCCGAAUAAAGCCAUUCAUUUAUAA
Molecule: long non-coding RNA, 1725 nt
Organism: Cucurbita pepo subsp. pepo (vegetable marrow)
Lineage: Eukaryota; Viridiplantae; Streptophyta; Magnoliopsida; Cucurbitales; Cucurbitaceae
Source: RefSeq, a predicted model, not a curated record